RNA transcript from Ahaetulla prasina, 5279 nucleotides. It is a transcript of the gene named twist family bHLH transcription factor 1, with no coding region annotated. The transcript is spliced from 3 exons. The record is from RefSeq and is a predicted model, not a curated record. NCBI's taxonomy places the organism in Eukaryota, Metazoa, Chordata, Lepidosauria, Squamata, Colubridae.
CCCAGGCUGCAACUUUCGCCCAACUCCCAGCCAGCUCCGAGGAGCCCUCGGGAGGGGAGCUGACAGCGCCAGAGAUUCUCCUUCCUCCGUUGCCUUUCUUUUCGGAUCUCAAUGGCCUCCACCGUCCCAUCCAACUGAACGUUGCUGCCGACUUCAUCUGGACUCUCGCAAGCCAAGGAUCUAGCCGCGGGGAGCUGGCUGGCUAAGCAUCGGUCGCCCGCCCGCCCCCCUCGCCCCUUCUAAAGGGCUGCUCGGUGUGCCGCAGGUUGGCCCUAGAGAUGAUGCAGCAGCAGCAGGACGAGUCCAAUUCUCCAGUCUCGCCCGCCGACGAAAGCUUGAGCAACAGCGAAGAGGAGCCCGAUCGCCAGCAGCAGCAGCAGCAACAGCAGCAGCAGCAACAGCAGCAGCUUCAAGGCGCCGGCAAACGAGGAGGACGGAAGAGGCGCUCGAGCCGUAGGGCAGCUGCAGGAGGCGGCGGCGGAGGCCCCGGAGGCGGCGGCGGAGUGACCGGCGGGGGACUCGGCUCGGCAGAGGAGCCGUGUAGCCCAGCGCAAGGCAAAAGAGGCAAGAAGUCGGGCGGCGGCGGCGGCGGCGGCGGCGGAGGGGGCAGCAGCAGCGGCGGGGGCAGCCCUCAGUCGUACGAAGAGCUUCAAACGCAGCGGGUGAUGGCCAACGUCCGCGAGCGCCAGCGCACGCAGUCGCUGAACGAAGCCUUCGCGGCUCUGCGCAAGAUCAUCCCGACGCUGCCGUCGGACAAGCUGAGCAAGAUCCAGACCCUCAAGCUGGCUGCCCGCUACAUCGACUUCCUCUACCAGGUUCUGCAGAGUGACGAGCUCGACUCCAAGAUGGCCAGCUGCAGCUAUGUGGCCCAUGAGCGUCUCAGCUACGCCUUCUCCGUUUGGCGCAUGGAAGGCGCCUGGUCCAUGUCCGCCUCCCACUAGCGUCCUGUGCAGCCUGGCGUGCCCGGAGACUUUAGCCACCUACUCUGAGCAUCAUUUAGCUGAUUCCAAGAAAAUACAUACAGGAUUGCUGAAUGAGACUCCGUGGGACAUUUCUCAGUAGCCACAGAAGCACUCUCCUUGAGGCUUACAGGAAAUAUCAGCAUGGAAUAUUGACUGUUAACUCAGAAGAUGAUGCCAGAUGUUAAUUUUACAAGGAGAGCUGCCAGCAUUCAUGUCUACUGGAAGUCAUAGCAUCAGAAGAGGAAGCCCUUGUUCUUCAGAAAUGGUCUAAGCAUAAUCAGUGAUGGAGAAAAUACACUCUGGUUACACUCAGAGAAACUAUUUUCACAUAGUCCUGGCAACUGGUCUAGUCAGGAACUGGAAUACCAUAAUUCUGGAAAACUCCAUUUCAGAAAAAAUCCAGGACAAUGCUCAUACCUCUUAGCGGUCCAAUUUCUCAAUAGGGAAAACAUACUUGUAUAUCUACAAAAACUGUUACUAAUGCUUAUAGCCAACAAAAUAUCAUUACACUUUGUCAACCUAAUUAUACACAAUUAUCCAGGUGACUUUGUUGUAGGGAAUGCCAAUGUUUUAGCAAACAGCACCAUGGCAGCUGAAUUAUGGAAAAACUUAGUACAAAUUUGGAUCUUGCGUAUUCCAAGAAUUUUCAAGAGAAGUUAAUUUCCUAAAGGAAAUCCCCUGCAGUGAUCAAACAUCAGAACAGUGAAACCAAAAUUCUAGAAAUAAUUAAGGAAAAAAGAAAAGUCAAAGCAAAACCAACUAUUGGGGCACUAGCUUUAGAGAAGAGGCCCUGUUCUUUUCUAUCACAGAAUAAUAAACUUUCCAAAACAUACUCCAGUUGGGUUUAGAAAAGGUAUGGAAAUCGGAAAGAGCAUUCCUUUAGAUUUCACCUUCUGAAUCACAUAAAACCUCAAGAAUCCAGCUACAGAUCUUGGCACAGGCUUUCCAAAAGUUACCAUGGACUAUUGUGCCAGUUGUGACCAUGGUUUCUCAAGCCAUUUCCAUUUUGGGCAGAAUGUGCUAUAAAGGAGGCUUUUUUUUUCCUGUGGUAUGAAAGAUUUAUACUUGUGUGGCAUUUUCUGUGAACUGCAACCAUUCAGGGGAAAUUUUGGAAUGGAAAGUCUUUUUUUUAAUGAAAAAAAUCAAGAUUUUUGUUGAGCCUUAAAUAGACAAUUUUUUAGAACCAACAACUUGGUGGCCACCAACAUUUGUCAAUUCAGUUCCAACUGUUUCUUCACAAAAUGGAGUUCCAUUUACUUGACUGAGCUAUUUUAAAAUAUUUGCACUGAAGCAAAGUCUUCCUAUAAAAUACAUCAGAGAUAACUCAGGGAUAACUCAGUUGUGAAGCUGAUGAGAACUCUGGAGGAAGUAGAUUAUCUAAAUCCACUUCAGUGCCACAGUUUGAUGCUUUCUCUUCUCCUGUUCAACAAUUACGUGAGGUCAGCGUACUAGUUUGGAGUUCAGUACGUACUCUGAUGAAAGUUAAUUAUAUCCUAUAUAAGAUAUAUCCCUGCUGCCCAGCAUUAUCCCUACUUGAGCUGAUUUAUUUCAUUGCAUGGUUAGCAGUGGACUCUUAGGGCUGAAAUUGAUAAUCUUUGGGAACUUUAACUUGUCACCAGGUGAUGUUGAGUAAGUGAGAUCAGGAAUUCAUGGAUUCUGGAUGGAUCUGUCCCAAAUGAUAGAAGGUCCUAUUUAUUCAGGAAGUCACAGACUAGAACUGAUUCUUAUCUUGGGACAGUUGCAAUGUGAUCUGUUUUUUUGAAAUAGCUCCAGCGGUGAAAUCCGGCUGGAUCUAUCUAUCUGGCUCGUGUGAACCAAUAGUGCCAGCAGCGGGAGGCUCCACCCUCCCGCCGGGACAUCAUUAUGUCCCAUUUUUGACCCUCUGCCUAUGCGCAGAAGGCUCUGUGCAUGCGCAGAAAAAGCAUGUGUGCUCACAUUGCUGAACCAGUAGUGAAGUAAGUGCAUUUCACCGCUGGAUAGCUCCCUCUUUGAUUCUGUCUAAUUCUCUGGGCAGCCACUUCUGCAGUCUGUCCUGUCCUGUCCUAGGCCAGAGUUGCCCAAUCUUUCCAGUUUUGAGGAUUUGGGGGGAGAGGUGAGUAGUAUGAGUAGUAGGCAAGCACACAUGCACGCACGCAAGUGGUGGACACGUGCACCUACUGCUCACACAAAUGGAGCAUGUGCACACGUUCCCCACUCCUUGUGCCACUGGGGAUGCGUGGAUACAUGUGCUCGCCCACUACUUCUGCAGCCUGGUUCCAAUCCACUCAAGGCCCAGUAGUGGGCCAAGGCACGGGAGUUAGGGACCUCAUGGAUGUGGUUGGAUUCCAGAGGGACUUCAGUUUUUUCUGAGGACCAGUGAGGCACUUUGGCCAAGGCCUUGGCUGCAGCCUGGAAUAAACAUAUGAUGGAGACCUUGAGUAGAUUGCUCUUCUGCAGCUUUCUCUAUGCAUCAAUUCCAUAUGCUCCCUGGUUUUCUAAUGAGUUCUGGGAAAUGAAGUGCCAGAAAUGACAUCCAGAGCACAAUUGAGAAAGGCAAAGAGCAAAUUACAUUGAACAUAUUUGGGCACAUAAUAUGGUGGUGAGGGUCAUGAAACAUUGGUUCAUACAUUCUUAUUCCAUUUGCCGAUAAUCUUUAGGAUGACCCACUCUUUAUUGCCGUGGCUUGCACCUCAUCUCCAGGGUUCUAAUGAGAAAUAUUCAUGUGGCAGAUAAAGUUACUCAGAUUUGCUUGGAGUUGGACCAUGAUUGGGUAAGUCCUAAAGAGUUGUCUUGUGAUGAUUUCUGAAUUGCAUUUGAUUCAGUAAUGCCUAAGGAAGUGGACAAGAUCCUUUUGCCCAUAAAUCCAACUACCAAUUUUUACUACUGAAGGUCCAUUGAGAUCUAUUUAUUUUUGCCAAAAGGAUAAAUUGAGUUUCUCAGAAACAAACUGAUAUACAAAGCAAAUAGACAAUAUAUUACUUUUCAGAUGUUCUAUUGUUCUGUCUUUUAGAGAGUACAUAACCAUUAUUUACCAUUUAAUCAUCCCACUUCUCUUUAAUUUGCUUAAGAAUGUAUUUUCCUCUCAUUAAAGCCUUUGUAGUGGCUGUUGCCAAGAGUUUUCCCACCCACCAGUGUUCUGCACUUUAUCCUUGUGGUUCUUUUAUGACCUCUUGAUUAAUUUUCAUUGAUAUGCUUCCAACAAUAGCAUCUAAAAUUAACCGGGUCAUUUUUAAAAAAAUACAACUUCCUGAGUCAUCAAGCUUGGUGUCCUAAAUAAAUACAUCCAUACAAGAAUAAAAUAAUAGUUCACUCUUCUAGAAUCAGGCUGUGAGCAUUGAAAAAAAUGGUGCUAUUUCUCCUCUAUUUAUUAUUACCAAUUUAUUUAUUACAUUUUCUCAUUGCUUAUCUUCCUUGUAGAAUUCAAAGUGACAUGCAAGGGUAUUACCUGAAUUAGUCAACAAGUGGUUUGGUCAAUACUUCACAAUAGACUAAAAUUAUAUUGACAGACAGAAAAUAUAAUCAGCUUUAUACACUGAAUAUCUUAUGGAAGUCCCAGAUCCCAGCCAGUUUGGUGCAUAUCUUCCAGGUGCACAAUAGCACACUGAACUCAUUUGUGCAAAGUGCCCUGAAGAAAGCAGCUAGUCCUGGUUCUCAUUUCACUGACUUUGAACUCCUUCCACUGGCCCUGGCUUUCCACUCCAUAUUCCUUUGAUACCAUGAUAUAUACUUCCGGGUGGGCUGGAAGAACAAGCAUUGCCAAGUCCAAGGUAAACCAGAGCACACUUACCCAAGGUAAGCCAGACUGCAUUGGGACAGCUAGCUAUCUCUGAAGGAGAUGUCUUCCAUUUCAGGCUAUCAACUCAACAACCACUUCCCAUAAACUGGAAUGAUAGGCCUUGAUAACUGCUCAUGGUUGCAGUUAUAACACCUUGAAACCUGGCAAUUAGGUUGUCUCCAAUGAGCUGCUAGCAACUGGGAAAAAAUAAUGAAGGACCUAAAGAACAAUUACCAUCCUUCACCUACCCAAUACUUAAUCUUUCGCAACUCAAAUUUCCAAAAUUUAGCAGAUGUAGAGAAACGAAGGAUCUUCAGCAAAUAGUCCAUGGAAAAAAGAAUCAGAAUAUUUGUAAUACUUGUAAUUAUUUAAUAAUCCUACUCAGAUACUCCAAAUCCAAAUACUCACCACAGUACUGCAAGAUGAUAGCCUGCUAAGAAAUCAAUACACAUUCAUUUGUAUAUAGAAAUCUUCUUUCCUGUACAUUUAUAUUAAAACGUAUCAUUUAAAUUACACUGGUGAAAUGAAACUUAAUCAAAGUUCAAGUGUUACAAUACCUGAAU